GUACUAUUCAAAAAAGGAUGCAAUGGAGAACAUUUACAGAGGACUGUGGGUAAAGCAAAGUCUUCAAGGGAAGAUAACAAAGGAUGAAACAAUGGUGUUGUGUGACUUCCUAGUGUGAAUCAUGGCAAUACAGUGAAAGACAGUGAUUUACUGCUUUUGAGGGCGUGCAUGUAUAUGAUUAACGGAUGGAAGUGCAGGACUCCAAGAUUUACUUCCUUCCCUUUCCAGCAGAAUUACCUGAGACGAGUAAAAUCUACUGGUGGAGUCACUCCAUUAUUCUUAUCUGUGGAGAUCUAGAUCUUGAUUUGAAAGUUUCUGAGAAAAUCUUCAGCUCAGACUUGAGGGUCAACUUUACCAGCUGAAGGAUCUGCAUUUACUGCUCAACCACAUCUAAUUUGAUGUCCUCUGCAGAUUUAAAAUGUGUGCCUUCUUUUCCGUCACCAAGUCAUCCCUGGGUUACUACUGAACAUCCUUCUCAAUUCCCCCCGACCCAUGGAUGGCUGUUCUCCAUUGUCUGUUUCACCAGAUGUCCUCAAAACAAACAGACAGAAGAAGGAAGUGGCUAAUGGAGCUGUGGAGUCCAAGUGUGACUGCCAAGAGGAAUCCAGCAAAGCCAAAAAGCCCAAGCAUGUAGCCCUGCCCGAAGCACGCCACACGCAUGGAAAACCCAGAGGAAAUGAGUGAGGAUCAAUGGGAAGAAGAGAGCCAGCCAGGUUCGAUGCCUUCUCCAUCCGUCAGUGAGGGUGUGGAGAGCCUGCAGGCGUGUGCCUCCCUCUGUAACUUGCUAUUCCUUGUGUAAUGUCAAGUGGAAGUGUGAAGCACCACAAACUGCUCUGAGCAGAGCCCACUUCCCUUCACCCACGGAGAGCGUGAAGCAGUUACACCAACAUCAAUCAAGGAAAACCCACAGGCUGAGCUCACACGGUUGAAGCAGGAAGUUGAAGAUUUGUCCAGGAGCAGAUAGCUGAAGAGAGAGAGAGAGAAGAGAGAACGGCUUACAGCUCAGGUCCUCUCUCCAUGCUUAGGAACCACUACAAAUGCUACUGCCUUGAGUCUCAUUUUGUUUCCCUCUGGAAACCACAUGUGUACCUUGUUUGCAACAGUAUGGAUUCUACAUCUCCAUCCAUGGGCCACUGUUUCAGCAACCUCAGCCAGUGCAACACAACCUCAGCCAAGAAGAGUAUGCAGAGAAAGGAGUCCCCUACCUGCCACAAAACUGUUGUCUGAAAACUGUCUCAUAUUGUCUCAAGUUGUCAUUCAUUGUGAAUUAGACCUGUUUAACAUGUAAUCUGCAACAUGCUUCACUGUCUAAUUUUCCAGAGCCCCUCAUAUAAGGAACUGUAUUAUUGGUAUAAUCAUCAUGGUGAAGAAGUUGGUAUGUGGGGGAGAGAUGACAGAAACAGAGAGUAAGUCAGAGCUGGCUGCCUGACAGAUAAAAAGGAAAUGACCAAAAAAAAAAAAAAA
Long non-coding RNA from Homo sapiens (human), 1464 nucleotides. Ensembl annotates it as cancer susceptibility 15. Its record names the gene CASC15. The record is from Ensembl. NCBI's taxonomy places the organism in Eukaryota, Metazoa, Chordata, Mammalia, Primates, Hominidae.